AGUGAACGCUGGCGGUGUGCCUAACACAUGCAAGUCGAGCGAAAGGACGGUAAGCUUGUGCUCCUGCUGUUAGCGGCUGACGGACGGGUAAGACGUACAUAAGCUACUUCUAAGACUGGGAUGACUACGGGGAACCGGAGCUGAUACCACAUCAUACUUCGUACCGCAUGGUGCAAAAGUUCUACACGGUCUUGCUGUCACUUAUAGAUGGAUCCGCGUUGGAUUAGCUAGUUGGUAAGGUAACGGCUUACCAAGGCGACGAUGCAUAGCCGACCUGAGAGGGUGAUCGGCCACACUGGAACUGAGACACGGUCCAGACUCCUACGGGAGGCAGCAGUAGGGAAUCUUGGACAAUGGGCGCAAGCCUGAUGGAGCAACGCCGCGUGGGUGAAGAAGGUCUUCGGAUCGUAAAACUCUGUUAUUGGGGAAGAACAUAUGCAGAAGUAACCGUGCCCGUCUUGACGGUACCUAAAGAAAAAGCACCGGCUAACUACGUG
Molecule: ribosomal RNA, 497 nt
Filed under: uncultured bacterium
Lineage: Bacteria
Description: partial 16S ribosomal RNA
Rfam family: Bacterial small subunit ribosomal RNA
Source: RNAcentral